UACGUAGGGGGCUAGCGUUGUCCGGAUUUAUUGGGCGUAAAGAGCGUGUAGGCGGCCAGGUAGGUCUGCUGUGAAAACUCGAGGCUCAACCUCGAGACGUCGGCGGAAACCAUCUGGCUAGAGUCCGGAAGAGGAGAGUGGAAUUCCUGGUGUAGCGGUGAAAUGCGCAGAUAUCAGGAGGAACACCGGUGGCGAAGGCGGAUCUCUGGGCCUUACCUGACGCUCAGGUGCGAAAGCUAGGGGAGCGAACAGG
Molecule: ribosomal RNA, 253 nt
Filed under: uncultured bacterium
Lineage: Bacteria
Description: partial 16S ribosomal RNA
Rfam family: Bacterial small subunit ribosomal RNA
Source: RNAcentral